This 484-nucleotide ribosomal RNA is filed under the name uncultured bacterium. RNAcentral describes it as "partial 16S ribosomal RNA". It matches the Rfam family "Bacterial small subunit ribosomal RNA", at positions 30 to 507 of the family's 1533-position model. The record is from RNAcentral.
AUUGAACGCUGGCGGCAGGCCUAACACAUGCAAGUCGAGCGGAUGCAGGGAGCUUGCUCCUGGAUUCAGCGGCGGACGGGUGAGUAAUGCCUAUGAAUCUGCCUGGUAGUGGGGGAUAACGUCCGGAAACGGGCGCUGAUACCGCAUACGUCCUGAGGGCGACAGUGGGGGAUCUUCGGACCUCACGCUAUCAGAUGAGCCUAGGUGGGAUUCGCUAGUUGGUGGGGUAGAGGCCUACCAAGGCGACGAUCCGUAACUGGUCUGAGAGGAUGAUCAGUCACACUGGAACUGAGACACGGUCCAGACUCCUACGGGAGGCAGCAGUGGGGAAUAUUGGACAAUGGGCGAAAGCCUGAUCCAGCCAUGCCGCGUGUGUGAAGAAGGUCUUCUGAUUGUAAAGCACUUUAAGUUGGGAGGAAGGGCAGUAAGUUAAUACCUGGCUGUUUUGACGUUACCAACAGAAUAAGCACCGGCUAACUUCGUG